This 21-nucleotide microRNA is filed under the name Drosophila virilis. RNAcentral's name for it is "dvi-miR-969-5p". Its record names the gene dvi-miR-969-5p. The record is from miRBase by way of RNAcentral. Lineage: Eukaryota; Metazoa; Arthropoda; Insecta; Diptera; Drosophilidae.
AGUUCCACUAAUCAAGUUUUG